Molecule: ribosomal RNA, 477 nt
Filed under: uncultured anaerobic ammonium-oxidizing bacterium
Lineage: Bacteria
Description: bacterial SSU rRNA
Rfam family: Bacterial small subunit ribosomal RNA
Source: RNAcentral
UUCGCAAUGCCCGAAAGGGUGACGAAGCGACGCCGCGUGCGGGAAGAAGGCCUUCGGGUUGUAAACCGCUGUCGGGAGUUAAGAAAUGCAAGGAUAUUAAUAGUAUCUUUGCUUGACUAAGGCUCCGGAGGAAGCCACGGCCAACUCUGUGCCAGCAGCCGCGGUAAUACAGAGGCGGCAAGCGUUGUUCGGAAUUAUUGGGCGUAAAGAGCACGUAGGCGGCUAUGUAAGUCGGUUGUGAAAGCCUUCCGCUCAACGGGAGAACAGCAUCCGAUACUGCAUAGCUUGAGUGCGGGAGGGGAGAGUGGAACUUCUGGUGGAGCGGUGAAAUGCGUAGAUAUCAGAAGGAACGCCGGCGGCGAAAGCGGCUCUCUGGCCCGUAACUGACGCUGAGUGUGCGAAAGCUAGGGGAGCAAACGGGAUUAGAUACCCCGGUAGCCCUAGUCGUAAACGAUGGGCACUAAGUAGAGGGGUUUU